Molecule: small RNA, 29 nt
Filed under: Bombyx mori (domestic silkworm)
Lineage: Eukaryota; Metazoa; Arthropoda; Insecta; Lepidoptera; Bombycidae
Description: ovarian small RNA-30219
Source: RNAcentral
UCUUGUAGUGUCUCCCGAGACCGGGCAAG